Molecule: RNA transcript, 1457 nt
Organism: Mercurialis annua (annual mercury)
Lineage: Eukaryota; Viridiplantae; Streptophyta; Magnoliopsida; Malpighiales; Euphorbiaceae
Exons: 10
Source: RefSeq, a predicted model, not a curated record
AUAUUUUAAUUUUAAAGUCGAGUCAGCUUCGAGUGUGUCAACUCGAGUAGACUCCGUUACACCCUUUGUCUCAUAAAAAAAAAACUGUAAGCAUUUCAUCAAACACGUUAUAUGCAUGCACUGAAAAGAAAAGAACUCACAACACCCUGCUAAACAAAAAGAAAAUGCAAGCAAUAGUGCCAAUACGACCUCGUUUCACUGCCCUGUUAACUCAUCAAUGGCUUCAAAAACCUUCAAACAUCCGUGCUUUCUCCUCAUCCUCGUCCUCAGAUUGCUCGAAUCAGUCUCGCGGUGGCCUUCCUCGGUUCUUCUCUGAAAAUCUUCCGUCAACAAAGGGCGGUGUUGUUCGAGUACAAGGUGAUGAAUUUUGGCAUAUGAGCAAAGUUUUAAGAUUAACCACUAAUGACAGGGUAGAGCUUUUCAACGGGAAAGGAGCACUUAUAGAAGGUUGCAUUCAGAGUAUUGAUCGUGCAGGACUUGAUUUUCUAGCGAUUGAUGAUCCGAUAAUAAUUAAUCCACAGACAACAAAGUGGCAUGUUUUUGCUGCAUUUGGUAGUUUAAAGGGUGGUCGAGCUGAUUGGCUUGUCGAGAAAUGCACUGAGCUAGGGGCUCAUAGCGUAACCCCACUUCUGACAGAACGAUCCUCAUCAAUCUCGGAAAACCGUGUAGACAGAUUGCAACGUGUCGUUCUAGCAGCGACUAAACAAUGUCAAAGGUUGCAUGAAAUGGUUCUAAAUCCUCCGAAAAAAGUUGAAGCCAUUUUACCUCUUGUUGCUCAAUCAAAGCUAUCUUUUUUGGCAGCUGCAGAAGCUACUCCUGUUGUUAGUGUAUUGGCUUCAUCAAGAAAAGAGUCGAGUGGAUUGAUAAUAGUGGGACCAGAAGGAGAUUUCACAGAAAAGGAGGUGUCCAUGAUGGUGGAAGCCGGUGCUACAGCUAUUGGUCUCGGACCACUUCGACUACGUGUUGAAACUGCAACAGUGACACUUUUAGGAACUCUAAUGUUAUGGUCUGACGCUCAACAAUUCUCUUCAGAUUAGUUACAUUUCCAAGUAAGAAAAUGAUAUAGCUAUGCAACCGGCUUGCUUGAGGCUUGGAUGCUAGGCUUCUUUUACUCAGUAUGAACUUCAAGAACUUUGCGAAUGCAUGCUACUGGGAUUACCUUACUGAAAAUAGGUUUACUAGACGGUGAUACCGGAUAUGAGUGAAUACGUGUUCUAUUGUUUUUAUGUAUUUUAUACCCCAUCGAGCUGUGGCCGCCCUAGGGACCGAGUGGGUUUAUGGAAGUGGAAAUGAGCUUUACCGGCGGAGGUUUUUCUGCAGUUAUAGUUCAUUGGUAUAAACACAAAUAAAUUCACAAGCUACAAUUGUUUUGCGAUUUCUAACGUAGAUUUCUUAUUUUUGCAAUUUGAGACAAUUUUUUUUGCAAUGCAAAUCACCAUCUGAAAAUUGGGUUGAUU